Long non-coding RNA from Ixodes scapularis (black-legged tick), 504 nucleotides. RefSeq lists it as uncharacterized. The record is from RefSeq and is a predicted model, not a curated record. NCBI's taxonomy places the organism in Eukaryota, Metazoa, Arthropoda, Arachnida, Ixodida, Ixodidae. The transcript has 2 exons.
GCUCCUGUGUCCUCGCGCGAACGUGUCGCGGCAGCUGCAAAGUUUCGGAUUCGACGGAACUUCAAACUUGGUCUCAACUGACUUCUAGCUUACUUAGACCAUCGAGUACACAUUUUGGGAACUGCCCCGGUAUUAACGGAACGAAAUGGACCAGCGGAGCGCGUGGCCUCUCGUGCUUGUGGCGCCAUCUGGCAGACGCCGUGCUAUCCGGUGUCGCGAGUCGCAGAUGCGCACAACUGAGCCAAAAACUCGGAGGCUGUUCGUGCUCGGCGCCCUACCACUGAGAGCUGACCAACGCUGGCCAUAAGCUUGCAACUUGUGACCGCAUAAUUUUUUUUUUUGCACACUGUAGCGUGCACAGAUGCUUUUAUUCGAAUAUGAACGGUGUUCAAAAUUUAAAUUAUUACUCGCAGUGAGCUCACAGUUUAUUCCAAAUAAAUGUGUUGUGUCGUAGCAGGUGUGCUCCAUUUUCAUACCGACAAAUAUAAAAUUUCUUUCUUGUUC